UAAUAAGUGUUUUAUGGCACUUUUUAAAUCCAUAUCCACCUUGUAUGCAAUGUCAGUCGAUCUUCUUCAUGGAGAUCGACCAAACAUCAACCUUUAUCUUUUAACUCUUGUCUGAAAAAUAUUAUGAAUAAACAAUUCAAAAUA
This 144-nucleotide unclassified non-coding RNA is filed under the name soil metagenome. Its description in RNAcentral is "partial internal transcribed spacer 1". The record is from RNAcentral.